Molecule: ribosomal RNA, 633 nt
Filed under: bacterium Ca.J18AB
Lineage: Bacteria
Description: bacterial SSU rRNA
Rfam family: Bacterial small subunit ribosomal RNA
Source: RNAcentral
AUGCGCGUCCUANCAUGCAAGUCGAGCGAAUCGAUGGGAGCUUGCUCCCUGAAGAUUAGCGGCGGACGGGUGAGUAACACGUGGGCAACCUGCCUAUAAGACUGGGAUAACUUCGGGAAACCGGAGCUAAUACCGGAUACGUUCUUNAUCUCGCAUGAGAGAAGAUGGAAAGACGGUUUACGCUGUCACUUAUAGAUGGGCCCGCGGCGCAUUAGCUAGUUGGUGAGGUAAUGGCUCACCAAGGCGACGAUGCGUAGCCGACCUGAGAGGGUGAUCGGCCACACUGGGACUGAGACACGGCCCAGACUCCUACGGGAGGCAGCAGUAGGGAAUCUUCCGCAAUGGACGAAAGUCUGACGGAGCAACGCCGCGUGAACGAAGAAGGCCUUCGGGUCGUAAAGUUCUGUUGUUAGGGAAGAACAAGUACCAGAGUAACUGCUGGUACCUUGACGGUACCUAACCAGAAAGCCACGGCUAACUACGUGCCAGCAGCCGCGGUAAUACGUAGGUGGCAAGCGUUGUCCGGAAUUAUUGGGCGUAAAGCGCGCGCAGGUGGUUCCUUAAGUCUGAUGUGAAAGCCCACGGCUCAACCGUGGAGGGUCAUUGGAAACUGGGGAACUUGAGUGCAGAAGA